AGAAAGCUAGAACUGGACAGUAUUCGGUUACAAGAGAGACUUGAGCUUGCACGGAACACAACAAGGAAAAGAAAUAAACAUUGAGGUCAAGUCACUGAACCUCUUACUAAGAGAAGAAAAGUAUCCGGUAAUCUUGAGAACAAUGCUGAACUUGAGGACGAAGUCUCUGAGGAUGAACAAGCGUAUUCUGAUGGAACAGAGAACGAACUGAAUAUGUUAACCGAGUCAGAGGACAGUGGAUUUAUAUCUGAAAAAGUAAAUGUUGCAAAAGAAGACCCAACGAAUUAUAGGUUGGUAAAGCUCUGACUACAAAUGCAGAUCCAGAUCAUGCAAUUAUUGGCAAAUCAAAAGACAGAGACAAUAUUUCUCAUGAUAUCGAGCCUGAAGAUAGCACUGCAUUUCAUUAAGAACCUGAGGACGAUACAUUUCCUGAUGAACCAGAUAACACUAUUGGAUUUUCUGAUGAACCAGAUAACACUAUUGGAUUUUCUGAUGAAGCUGAUAACACUAUUGGAUUUUCUGAUGAAGCUGAAAACAAUGCACAGUUUUCUGAUGAUCCAGAGGACAGCUCACAAUACAUUAAUGCUCAUGAGCGAUAUGAAGAUGAGCAUUCAUCAGCUGAGAGUGGUCUGAUGAUUGAUGGUGAAGGUGAAGAAAGUAAGAAAAUAAGAAGCUUUGCUGGAAGAUCAUGAAUCUUGAGUCUAAUGAGGAAAUGCUCCUCAAGAAGCAAAAAGAUCUUGAAGUGAAUUUUUAUAAACCAAGGAAACAGUGAAAGUUGCAGACGAUAAGCUAAUCCGUUAUCAAUGGCAAAUAAAAGCUCUCAAGGCCAUUGGAAGAGGAUUCAGGGACAAGUAUCAGAAGGCUGAGACUCAAGUUUCACCCCUCAACGAGAAGAAUGCAGAUUUGGAGUUGGCUAAUCAAAAUAAUUUGGAGGUUUUGGAAUCCGCAAAGAAUAACGAAGAACGAAAGAUGGAAUCAAAGGAUGAAGAAAUUGGCCAUCUUCAAUCAAUUGGUUUUAAGAUGAGAAUGACCGGAUUAAAGACGAAAAUAAGGGGCUUUUGGAGAAGCAAAAAGAUCUGGAAGUGAAUGUUCGUAAACUAGAAGAGCAGUGUAAAGUUGCAGUUGAUAAACAUAAAACGCAAACAUGUAGUCUCAAGACCAUUGGAAGACAAUUUAGGGACAGGUUCGAGAUUGCUCAGACUAAAGUUUCUUCUCUCUAAGCUGAAACUGAGAGACUAAGCGAAAAGAAUGCAGAUUUGGAGUUGACUAAUCUAAAAAGUUUAGAAGCUUUAGAAUCCUCAAAGAAUAAAGAAGAAAGAAAGAUGAAAGCAAAGAAUGAAUCAAUUGGACAACUUCAAUCCGAGAGUCUCUUUACAUUUUACUUACGGGAUGGUAAACGUAAUUUUAAGUGACCCUUUAUGACCACUGACCAAGUCCGAUUCGCGACCGUAUCUUCAAAUUUGCAUAUUUGCCUUUAGAUAGAAAUGGUUGUCAGAAUUAGCAACAUUAAACAGGGAGUUUUUUUUUUGAUUUUUGUGAUUUUUGAAAAUCUUAUGUCUCAGCCAUUUAAAGAAAAUCUUUUUAAUUUAAAAAAAGUUCCGAAUAGCAUUUUAAUGGACGUAGAUCAGGUUAUAAUUGAGUACUGUUGUGAAUCUGUCACGUCUCUCUUUUACAUGGCGGGUCAUUUGAAAUUACAAUGUAAGUCCAGUACCAAGAUUAGUAGUUUUUAGGGUUUCCAACACAAGUGGGUUUUUGUUUGCAAGACUUGUAAUUCCGUGGAAUUCCGCGCAACAGAAUUCCGAGUGCAAACCCGGUAGAAUUCCUAUAUUUUGUAGAGUGUGACUAAAAAGUUAAUCCAAGCAAUUUUUAAAAACAAAUUCUGAAAAACCAGAGUUAGUAAAAAAUAUGUUGCCUAAAGCUUCCCCAACAUUCAUGAUUUGAUUUGAUUUGGGUCGCAUUCUACUUGUCAAAACUACUAAGUUAACUAUUUGAUUAAAUAUGAUGCAUCUAAUUUUAAUACUAGCAUGAGAACUAUGUACCUUAUCUCAUCAACUUCAUACACCACUUGCACCACUCUUCUUUUCAUGCAUCUUAAAUCGUUAAUGUAUGCUAGUCUUUUCCAACUCUAUAAUAUCCAUUUUAUUUUAUCAUUUAGAACAUGUAAUUUUUUCAUAGUGUAAUGAUCCAUUAUAUUGUUAGUUAUUUAUCUUAAAGGGAGUGUUCGAGAAAAAUGAAAGGGGUAUAGGCUUA
Long non-coding RNA from Eurytemora carolleeae, 2250 nucleotides. RefSeq lists it as uncharacterized. The transcript is spliced from 6 exons. The record is from RefSeq and is a predicted model, not a curated record. Lineage: Eukaryota; Metazoa; Arthropoda; Copepoda; Calanoida; Temoridae.